UACGAAGGGGGCUAGCGUUGUUCGGAUUAACUGGGCGUAAAGGGUGCGUAGGCGGGUUUUUAAGUCAGGGGUGAAAUCCCGAGGCUCAACCUCGGAACUGCCUUUGAUACUGGAAAUCUUGAGUCUGGGAGAGGUGAGUGGAACUGCGAGUGUAGAGGUGAAAUUCGUAGAUAUUCGCAAGAACACCGGUGGCGAAGGCGGUUCUCUGGGCCUUACCUGACGCUGAGGAGCGAAAGCGUGGGGAGCGAACAGG
Molecule: ribosomal RNA, 253 nt
Filed under: uncultured bacterium
Lineage: Bacteria
Description: partial 16S ribosomal RNA
Rfam family: Bacterial small subunit ribosomal RNA
Source: RNAcentral